GUGAAUCAUCAAAUCUUUGAACGCAAAUUGCACUCUCUCCGAAGAGUAUGACUGUUUGAGGGUCAGCCUGAGAAAAAUCGACGUAGUCGCUGUUUCGCGAUGACUUUCGUCGGAAAUGGGGGCAUCUUAAACAUUUGGGUUUUUUAAACGGCUUAAAAUUUUCUUUACUAUUCCACUAACGAUUCUAAGAUUUUUCUUCUUACACUCUUUUAU
This 213-nucleotide unclassified non-coding RNA is filed under the name Glomeromycetes sp. RNAcentral's name for it is "partial contains 5.8S ribosomal RNA and internal transcribed spacer 2". The stretch from base 1 to 65 matches the Rfam family "5.8S ribosomal RNA", at positions 84 to 154 of the family's 154-position model. The record is from RNAcentral. Lineage: Eukaryota; Fungi; Glomeromycota; Glomeromycetes.